Sarcophilus harrisii (Tasmanian devil) is the source of this 1053-nucleotide long non-coding RNA. RefSeq lists it as uncharacterized. The record is from RefSeq and is a predicted model, not a curated record. The transcript has 3 exons. Lineage: Eukaryota; Metazoa; Chordata; Mammalia; Dasyuromorphia; Dasyuridae.
GGCGGGGCUCGCAGCGCGCCCUCAGGAACGCUCUACCCUCUUUUCGGCGGCAUUGAGGCAGCAGGAGAAGGAGGAGGGGAAGUGUGCCAGGUGGCGGGCAGAGAGAUAAGACGGGCAGCUUCUCGAGAAAGUGUGCCACUCUCCUAGCAGAGUCGCGCGGUCGUCUCUCGUUUUGCCAAAAGUUUAAGGGACGACCAAGGCGCGGAACAAAAAUAAAACGAGCCCAUCCUCCAGCUGCCCUCCGAGCCGGGCAUGUGCGAGCGAUGGCGGGGGAGGAGCGAGAAGGGGGAUUUCCUCUCAGCAUCCGCUCCAACGUCUCCCCCUUGUCCCCUUUCCUGAGUCUUCAGGCCGGGCCAGAAGUAAAUGCACAAUAAGUCUCAAGAGCUGUACACGUAGCUCGCCCCGCCUCCAGAAUUUGCCGUUCAAUCUGGUGCGAUCCCACUAUCGUCUCAAAUGCCUGCAGUUCUUAAAUCCCAACGUGUCCGUUUCUUCCUUCCCAUAUUUCACGCGAAAGAAAGCAAAGUAUAUCGACUUUAGUUGAAUAGUCACCCGAAUAGCUGCUUUGAGAUGAGGAAUCCAGGUGAACUAGGUCAAGUGCCUUGCCCAUCCAUGGUCACACAGCUACAAAUAGUGCUUUUGGACUCUGAUUCCCAUGCCAGAUGGAAGCCAGAAUGGGACAGGACUGUUCCUAUUCGAAAGCCUUUAAGGGCCAACUAAAGAAAGGUAAAGGACCCUUUGAAUCCUUAUAGAAAGGUUUUUCAGAGUAAAGCUGCUCAGUCUUGAAGAUUCUUCAUUUGCACUUAUGAAAUCUGACUGGAAAGGAAGGUCCAGAUUCAGUCAUAAUUAUUUGUGCACGUCUCUGGCCAUGUAUAAACUUGUAGUCACCUUUUUUUAUUGUUUAUAAUAAGCCUUAAGCACUGCCAAUAAAAGUCCUCUAUUUUAAUGACUAUAAGUCACUUUCUAGUUGUGUAGGACUAACUCAAUUUCAAAUACACUAGGCUGUUUGUGACCCAAAAAGCAGAAGGGCUGAGAAUUUUCUGAAGGGAAGGGAGA